RNAcentral lists this ribosomal RNA (1025 nucleotides) under Bacillus aerius. RNAcentral describes it as "bacterial SSU rRNA". It matches the Rfam family "Bacterial small subunit ribosomal RNA", at positions 32 to 1041 of the family's 1533-position model. Lineage: Bacteria; Bacillati; Bacillota; Bacilli; Caryophanales; Bacillaceae. The record is from RNAcentral.
GACGCUGCGGCGUGCCUAAUACAUGCAAGUCGAGCGGACAGAAGGGAGCUUGCUCCCGGAUGUUAGCGGCGGACGGGUGAGUAACACGUGGGUAACUGCCUGUAAGACUGGGAUAACUCCGGGAAACNGGAGCUAAUACCGGAUAGUUCCUUGAACCGCAUGGUUCAAGGAUGAAAGACGGUUUCGGCUGUCACUUACAGAUGGACCCGCGGCGCAUUAGCUAGUUGGUGAGGUAACGGCUCACCAAGGCGACGAUGCGUAGCCGACCUGAGAGGGUGAUCGGCCACACUGGGACUGAGACACGGCCCAGACUCCUACGGGAGGCAGCAGUAGGGAAUCUUCCGCAAUGGACGAAAGUCUGACGGAGCAACGCCGCGUGAGUGAUGAAGGUUUUCGGAUCGUAAAGCUCUGUUGUUAGGGAAGAACAAGUGCAAGAGUAACUGCUUGCACCUUGACGGUACCUAACCAGAAAGCCACGGCUAACUACGUGCCAGCAGCCGCGGUAAUACGUAGGUGGCAAGCGUUGUCCGGAAUUAUUGGGCGUAAAGGGCUCGCAGGCGGUUUCUUAAGUCUGAUGUGAAAGCCCCCGGCUCAACCGGGGAGGGUCAUUGGAAACUGGGAAACUUGAGUGCAGAAGAGGAGAGUGGAAUUCCACGUGUAGCGGUGAAAUGCGUAGAGAUGUGGAGGAACACCAGUGGCGAAGGCGACUCUCUGGUCUGUAACUGACGCUGAGGAGCGAAAGCGUGGGGAGCGAACAGGAUUAGAUACCCUGGUAGUCCACGCCGUAAACGAUGAGUGCUAAGUGUUAGGGGGUUUCCGCCCCUUAGUGCUGCAGCUAACGCAUUAAGCACUCCGCCUGGGGAGUACGGUCGCAAGACUGAAACUCAAAGGAAUUGACGGGGGCCCGCACAAGCGGUGGAGCAUGUGGUUUAAUUCGAAGCAACGCGAAGAACCUUACCAGGUCUUGACAUCCUCUGACAACCCUAGAGAUAGGGCUUUCCCUUCGGGGACAGAGUGACAGGUGG